UCUGGGCGUAAGCGUGCGCAGGCGGUUAUGUAAGACAGAUGUGAAAUCCCCGGGCUCAACCUGGGAACUGCAUUUGUGACUGCAUGGCUAGAGUACGGUAGAGGGGGAUGGAAUUCCGCGUGUAGCAGUGAAAUGCGUAGAUAUGCGGAGGAACACCGAUGGCGAAGGCAAUCCCCUGGACCUGUACUGACGCUCAUGCACGAAAGCGUGGGGAGCAAACAGGAUUAGAUACCCUGGUAGUCCACGCCCUAAACGAUGUCAACUGGUUGUUGGGAAUUAGUUUUCUCAGUAACGAAGCUAACGCGUGAAGUUGACCGCCUGGGGAGUACGGCCGCAAGGUUG
This 342-nucleotide ribosomal RNA is filed under the name uncultured bacterium. RNAcentral describes it as "bacterial SSU rRNA". It matches the Rfam family "Bacterial small subunit ribosomal RNA", at positions 553 to 896 of the family's 1533-position model. The record is from RNAcentral.